AGAGUUUGAUCCUGGCUCAGAACAAACGCUGGCGGCGUGUCUUAAGCAUGCAAGUCGAGCGGCAAGGGCAGCAAUGCCCCUAGAGCGGCGGACUGGUGAGUAACGCGUGGGUGAUCUACCUUUGGCAUGGGGAUAGCCAUUAGAAAUAGUGGGUAAUACCGAAUACGUUCGUCACCGUGAGGGUGACGAGGAAAGGUGCUACGGCACCGGCCGGAGAUGAGCCUGCGUCCGAUUAGCUAGUUGGUGAGGUAAAGGCCCACCAAGGCUAUGAUCGGUAGGCGGCCUGAGAGGGUGUACGCCCACAUUGGGACUGAGAUACGGCCCAAACUCCUACGGGAGGCAGCAGCUAAGAAUAUUCCGCAAUGGACGAAAGUCUGACGGAGCGACGCCGCGUGGAUGAUGAAGGCCGAAAGGUUGUAAAGUCCUUUUGCUGGGGAAGAAUAAGUCUGGGAGGGAAUGCCCGGAUGAUGACAUGAACCGGCGAAUAAGCCCCGGCUAGCUACGUGCCAGCAGCCGCGGU
Molecule: ribosomal RNA, 520 nt
Filed under: uncultured bacterium
Lineage: Bacteria
Description: bacterial SSU rRNA
Rfam family: Bacterial small subunit ribosomal RNA
Source: RNAcentral